This 566-nucleotide ribosomal RNA is filed under the name uncultured bacterium. Its description in RNAcentral is "bacterial SSU rRNA". It matches the Rfam family "Bacterial small subunit ribosomal RNA", at positions 337 to 919 of the family's 1533-position model. The record is from RNAcentral.
UCCUACGGGAGGCAGCAGUGAGGAAUAUUGCGCAAUGGGCGAAAGCCUGACGCAGCAACGCCGCGUGAAUGAUGAAGUUUUUCGGAAUGUAAAGUUUAGUCACCAGAGAUGAUAAUGACAGUAUCUGGAGAGGAAACCCCGGCUAAGUACGUGCCAGCAGCCGCGGUAAGACGUGCGGGGUAAGCGUUAUCCGGAAUCACUGGGCAUAAAGAGUGUGUAGGCGGAAAUGUGUGUCAGGUGUGAAAGGCUUUGGCCUAACCAAAGUAAGCACUUGAAACUGCAUUUCUAGAGGAUAGUAGAGGAAAGCGGAACUUACGGUGUAGCGGUGAAAUGUGUAGAUAUCGUAAGGAACACCAGUUGCGAAGGCUGCUUUCUGGGCUAUUUCUGACGCUAAAGCACGAAAGCGUGGGUAGCGAACGGGAUUAGAUACCCCGGUAGUCCACGCCGUAAACGUUGUUCACUAAGUGUAGGGGAGAAUCGAUCCUCUCUGUGCCACAGAUAAUUCUUUAAGUGAACCGCCUGGGAAGUACGACCGCAAGGUUAAAACUCAAAGGAAUUGACGGGGA